AAUCAACGCUGGCGGCGUGCCUAACACAUGCAAGUCGAACGAGAAAGUGGAGCAAUCCAUGAGUAAAGUGGCGCACGGGUGAGUAACACGUGACUAACCUACCCAGGAGUGGGGGAUAACUGAGGGAAACCUUAGCUAAUACCGCAUAACACCUACGGGUCAAAGGAGCAAUUCGCUUCUGGAGGGAGUCGCGGCCGAUUAGUUAGUUGGCAGGGUAAUGGCCUACCAAGACGAUGAUCGGUAUCCGGCCUGAGAGGGCGCACGGACACACUGGAACUGAAACACGGUCCAGACUCCUACGGGAGGCAGCAGGUGGGGAAUUUUGCGCAAUGGGGGAAACCCUGACGCAGCAACGCCGCGUGGAGGAUGAAGUCCU
Molecule: ribosomal RNA, 376 nt
Filed under: uncultured bacterium
Lineage: Bacteria
Description: bacterial SSU rRNA
Rfam family: Bacterial small subunit ribosomal RNA
Source: RNAcentral